This 253-nucleotide ribosomal RNA is filed under the name uncultured bacterium. Its description in RNAcentral is "partial 16S ribosomal RNA". It matches the Rfam family "Bacterial small subunit ribosomal RNA", at positions 524 to 776 of the family's 1533-position model. The record is from RNAcentral.
UACGGAGGAUGCGAGCGUUAUCCGGAUUUAUUGGGUUUAAAGGGUGCGUAGGCGGUCGGAUAAGUUAGAGGUGAAAUCCCGAGGCUCAACUUCGGAAUUGCCUCUGAUACUGUUCGGCUAGAGAGUAGUUGCGGUAGGCGGAAUGUAUGGUGUAGCGGUGAAAUGCGUAGAUAUACGGAGGAACACCAGUGGCGAAGGCGGAUUGCUGGACAGUAACUGACGCUGAGGCGCGAAAGCGUGGGGAGCAAACAGG